Molecule: ribosomal RNA, 497 nt
Filed under: uncultured bacterium
Lineage: Bacteria
Description: partial 16S ribosomal RNA
Rfam family: Bacterial small subunit ribosomal RNA
Source: RNAcentral
GAUGAACGCUGGCGGCGUGCCUAAUACAUGCAAGGCGAGCGAACAGACGAGGAGCUUGCUCCUCGGACGUUAGCGGCGGACGGGUGAGGAACACGGGGAUAACCUACCGAUAAGACUGGGAUAACGUCGGGAAACCGGAGCGAAUACCGGAGAAGAUAGUGAACCGCAUGGUUCAAUAGUGAAAGACGGUGGUGCUGUCACGGAUAGAGGGAUCCGCGCCGCAUUAGCUAGUGGGUAAGGGAACGGCUUACCAAGGCAACGAUGCGUAGCCGACCUGAGAGGGUGCUCGGCCCCACUGGACCUGAGACCCGGUUCCGCCUCCUACGGGAGGCAGCAGUAGGGAAUCUUCCGCAAUGUGCGAAAGCCUGACGGAGCAACGCCGCGUGAGUGAUGACGGUCUUCGGAUCGUACAACUCUGUUAUUAGGGACGAACAAAUGUGUAAGUCACUAUGCACGUCUUGACGGUACCUAAUCAGAAAGCCACGGCUAACUACGUG